RNAcentral lists this unclassified non-coding RNA (172 nucleotides) under uncultured fungus. RNAcentral describes it as "sequence contains ITS1, 5.8S rRNA gene". The record is from RNAcentral. Lineage: Eukaryota; Fungi.
CCGAGUAUCGGUACCCUUAUGGGUACUUACUCCCACCAUUUGUGAACCUUUUUCGUUGCCUCGGCGAACCGAUGGUACCCCCAUCCUUCGGCUUAAUCGGUUGAAGAGUGUUCGCCAGAGGAUUUUCAAACCAAUCUUAACUUUGAAAUCUGAGUUUAAACAAAUAAAAACA